GACGAACGCUGGCGGCGUGCUUAACACAUGCAAGUCGAACGGAAAGGCCCCUUUGGGGGUACUCGAGUGGCGAACGGGUGAGUAACACGUGAGUAACCUGCCCUUGACUUCGGGAUAACUUCAGGAAACUGGGGCUAAUACCGGAUAGGAAUCCUUGCUGCAUGGUGGGGGUUGGAAAGCUUCGGCGGUUUUGGAUGGACUCGCGGCUUAUCAGCUUGUUGGUGGGGUAGUGGCUUACCAAGGCUUUGACGGGUAGCCGGCCUGAGAGGGAGAACGGCCACAUUAGGACUGAGAUACGGCCAAGACUCCUACGGGAGGCAGCAGUGGGGAAUAUUGCACAAUGGGAGGAAGCCUGAUACAGCAACGCCGCGUGCGGGAUGACGGCCUUCGGGUUGUAAACCGCUUUCAGCAGGGGCGAAGCUUGUGGUGACGGUACCUGCAGAAGAAGCACCGGCUAACUACGUG
RNAcentral lists this ribosomal RNA (465 nucleotides) under uncultured bacterium. RNAcentral describes it as "partial 16S ribosomal RNA". It matches the Rfam family "Bacterial small subunit ribosomal RNA", at positions 28 to 507 of the family's 1533-position model. The record is from RNAcentral.